This 495-nucleotide ribosomal RNA is filed under the name uncultured bacterium. RNAcentral describes it as "partial 16S ribosomal RNA". It matches the Rfam family "Bacterial small subunit ribosomal RNA", at positions 28 to 507 of the family's 1533-position model. The record is from RNAcentral.
GACGAACGCUGGCGGCGUGCCUAAUACAUGCAAGUAGAACGCUGAAGGAGGAGCUUGCUUCUCUGGAUGAGUUGCGAACGGGUGAGUAACGCGUAGGUAACCUGCCUGGUAGCGGGGGAUAACUAUUGGAAACGAUAGCUAAUACCGCAUAAGAGUAGAUGUUGCAUGACAUUUGCUUAAAAGGUGCAAUUGCAUCACUACCAGAUGGACCUGCGUUUUAUUAGCUAGUUGGUGGGGUAACGGCUUACCAAGGCGACGAUACAUAGCCGACCUGAGAGGGUGAUCGGCCACACUGGGACUGAGACACGGCCCAGACUCCUACGGGAGGCAGCAGUAGGGAAUCUUCGGCAAUGGACGGAAGUCUGACCGAGCAACGCCGCGUGAGUGAAGAAGGUUUUCGGAUCGUAAAGCUCGGUUGUAAGAGAAGAACGAGUGUGAGAGUGGAAAGUUCACACUGUGACGGUAUCUUACCAGAAAGGGACGGCUAACUACGUG